AAAAGCUAAGAAUGAGUUCCUCUCCUUACAGCGGCCCAAUGAUUGUGCUGUGAUGGUGCUCUUGUUUAUCCAGACACAGCCCUUGAUGUGCGGGACAGUGAGUGCCCAGUUCAUGAGGUGCCAGGGAUCCAACCCACAGCUUUGUGCAUGCUAGGCAAGCACUCAACCAUCUGAGCCGCAGAGCCGACCCAGUAAGCCCUUCUUCUCAGAAGAGGGGAGGUGUCAACACUGAGGAACAAGGCUGGACAUUCAUCCAGAAACGGCAAGUCUGGUUAAUGUUUCCACAGAAAGCUUCAGGACAGUGAGCGAGUGUCAGUCCGCUUACGAAGCGUGUGGCUCUCCCCUGUGGCACCGGGACCCACCCAAGCACUGUGCUGGAAAUAGACACACACAUGCCUGGGAGAGGAGCCAGGGAGCAGAGCCCAAGAAUCACUCAGCAGUCUCUUGAGCAAGCCAGGCAUAGAGUAAUCCUAGCACUUGGGAGUCUAAAGCAGGAUUCCCACGAGUCUGAGGCCAGCCUGGUCUACAAAGCAACUUCUAGUCUACCUAUAGCUAAAUAAGUAAACACCCUUGGAGUAGCCAGAUGCCCACACCCUUGGAGUAGCCCGGUGCCCACACCCUGUCUGCCCUGCAGCUCUGAUGGCUGAGCAGGACCGAGGAUGGUGUUCUAAUCUGGGACAACCCGAGGGCCUUUUUACAGUUACACAGAUAUCAUUGACGUUGUGCAGGCCCUGCAGACUCACCCAGACCCAAAUGUCAAGUCCUACUUCACCAUUGGUGCCGUCACAGUGUGUGUGGAGCCCCUGAGCUGCUACAUGGAGCACAGCCAUUUGAGAGGAUAUAUUGUAUGAGAAAAGAAUCUACUUUCAAUAAAAGGAAAAAAGAAAAGGAAAAGAAAAGAAAAAGAAAAGUAGCUCAGCAUGAACCUGUGAGCCAGCAAGCAGCAUCCUCCAUUGUUUCUGCUUCAAGAUCCUGUUUGAGUUCCUGU
Molecule: long non-coding RNA, 988 nt
Organism: Peromyscus eremicus (cactus mouse)
Lineage: Eukaryota; Metazoa; Chordata; Mammalia; Rodentia; Cricetidae
Exons: 3
Source: RefSeq, a predicted model, not a curated record